This is a long non-coding RNA of Vigna unguiculata (cowpea), 156 nucleotides long. RefSeq lists it as uncharacterized. The record is from RefSeq and is a predicted model, not a curated record. Lineage: Eukaryota; Viridiplantae; Streptophyta; Magnoliopsida; Fabales; Fabaceae.
UCAUUGCGCCAACUUGCUCACGUCAACCGGGAAGCUAUGAGUGUGGAUAUUAUACCAUGAGGCACAUGCAUAGAAUCAUAUCCGCAAACAUUGUUGACUCAUGGGAUAUGAUUUUCAAUGACACAUCUCCAAUGGAUCAAGGAGUCUUGAAGGAAG